GGGGCCGACCCGGUUUCGACGUGGGUGCGGAUCCGGCGCAGGGCAUGCCGAGCACCAGUUCGCUCGUAAAUCCACUGGAACAAAGUAACUGCGAACGACGAACGUUUCGCUCUCGCCGCUUAAACACCGGUGAGCCUCUCAACGGUUGGCCGAUGGGCCGGGUUGAAGGUCGCAAGACCGACGACUGAGAGGUCAUUCACAUCGGCUGGCGUUGCACCGGGUCACUUGAUGCAGCGCGAGAUCUAGGUGACUGGCUCCGUCCGCAGCGUGUGCCUGCGCGGCGGCGGGGUGAGAAUCAAAUCAGAGCACUACGCAUGUAGAACUGUCCGGUGAUGGCUUGCGGACGGGGGUUCGAUUCCCCCCGGCUCCACCA
This 373-nucleotide transfer-messenger RNA is filed under the name Aquincola sp. It matches the Rfam family "transfer-messenger RNA". From Rfam's summary of the family: Bacterial tmRNA, also known as 10Sa RNA or SsrA, is named for its dual tRNA and mRNA-like properties. Lineage: Bacteria; Pseudomonadati; Pseudomonadota; Betaproteobacteria; Burkholderiales; Sphaerotilaceae. The record is from RNAcentral.